GCCUUGCUAUAAAAAAAGAAAAGAAAGAAAAAGAAAGUCCAUUUCUAAAAAGGCUUUUCAAAAGAAAUAUCCUUUGUUAGACCGCGUGUCCCAAUUUAUGGUUUGAAAAAUGUAGUCAUCAGAGACCAACCCACCCUUCAUGGGAAGUUUUUGGCUGAUGAGAAAUGCAAGAGAACCUCGAGGGCAGUGCCAAGGCCACAAACUCAGGGAUGGGUGCACUGUGAUGGAAGUAAUAAGACACAUGCAUAGUGGCUCAAUUAAAAAAAAAACACACUCCAUCAAUUGACACAGCUUGAUCCUUUGAGGCAUAGAUAUAAAAAUAUACUGCACCAACUGAUGCCCUUGAUCCUUCAAAAUAUUCUUAAAUCCUAAUCCACCUAAGUGCCAAUUUGUUUAUGAUGCAAUUUUUUUAUAGGUAGGUCAUCUGUCUACCUUAGACCUUAUUGUGGAAUAUGGUGUUAGAUACUGGCAUAAGCCUAAUUUUUGUCAGACUGCUUUCCAGUUUUUUCAAUAUUUCUUUUUUUUAAUCAAAUACUGAGUUCUUACCUUAGUAGUUGGUGUCCUUGGGUUUAUCAAAUAUAAUGGUACCAUGCUUGUUGGUUUCUGGAUCUUACCAACCUGAUCAACUUUGUUUUAUUAUUUAAUCAGUACCAAUAGUGUUAAUAAUUAAGAUUUGGUUCUGCUCUGCCUUCA
RNAcentral lists this long non-coding RNA (693 nucleotides) under Phascolarctos cinereus (koala). RNAcentral describes it as "lncRNA (ENSPCIG00000034878.1)". Lineage: Eukaryota; Metazoa; Chordata; Mammalia; Diprotodontia; Phascolarctidae. The record is from RNAcentral.